RNAcentral lists this ribosomal RNA (1260 nucleotides) under Adaiphrotermes sp. KE15-174. Its description in RNAcentral is "16S ribosomal RNA". The stretch from base 547 to 1260 matches the Rfam family "Archaeal large subunit ribosomal RNA", at positions 1423 to 2800 of the family's 2987-position model. Lineage: Eukaryota; Metazoa; Arthropoda; Insecta; Blattodea; Termitidae. The record is from RNAcentral.
GUUAUUGAAGAAUCAUUUUCGUUUUUGUAUAUUUGUGAUUUAAUUUUUUGUACUAUAGAUUAUUUGUACCGUAAGGGCUUGAUUUGUUAAUGUUUUUUUAAAAGCUGAUUUAAUUUGUUGUACCUUGUGUAUCAGGGUUCAUUAAAUUUUAUUAUUUAUUUUUAUUUCCCGAUUUUAAAGGAGUUAAUGAUUUAUAUUAGUUAUUGUUUCAAUAUUAUUAAUAAUAGGUUAUUGGUAGUGAAAUGUUAUUCGUCUUUAGUGGUUUCUGGUUUUUCAAGAAAUGAAUUUAAUUCAUUUCCCUUAUUUAAUUUUUACUUUUGUUUAUAUUUUUUUAUUUGGUGAUAAGAUUAAGGGGGAUUAGCUCCUUAUUUAAUUUUUAUAAUUUUGUUUUAAUUUAUUUUUGUGGAUUUUAUAGUGAUUUUCAAUUUGAUUAUGUUAAAAUUUUAUUUAUUCUUUUAUUUAUUUAUUUUGUAAUUUAAUUUGUUUAUUGAAAUGUUUUCUUUACUUGUUUAUUUGGAUAGUAAUUAUUGUGUAAUUAGUAAAUUUUACUUUAUAUUGUUUAUUAUUGUGUUAAAUUCUUUUAAGGAAUUCGGCAAAUUUUGUAUGUCCGCCUGUUUAACAAAAACAUCUUUUCUUGUUAGUUUUUGAAGUAUGGCCUGCCCACUGACUUUGUGUUGAAGGGCCGCGGUAUUUUGACCGUGCAAAGGUAGCAUAAUCAUUAGUUCUUUAAUUGUGAUCUGGUAUGAAUGGCUUGACGAGACAUAGACUGUCUUAAAGAUUGAAUAUAUGAUUGAAUUUGGUUUUUGAGUUAAAAUUCUUAAAUGUUUUUAUGGGACGAGAAGACCCUAUAGAGUUUGACAUUUGAUUUACUUUUUAUUAUUUUGUUUGUCUUUUUUAUUAAGUGAUUAUAAGUGUUUUGUUGGGGUGAUGGGAGGAAUUUAUUUAACUCCUCUUUAUUUUGAAUAUUUAUUUAUAAUUUUUUGAUCCAUUUAUUUUGAUUAUAAGAUUAAAUUACCUUAGGGAUAACAGCGUUAUCUUCCUUGAGAGUUCUUAUUGGCGGGGAGGUUUGCGACCUCGAUGUUGGAUUAAGGUUUAUUUUCGGUGUAGGAGCUGAAAGUGAUUGGGUCUGUUCGACCUUUAAAAUCUUACAUGAUCUGAGUUCAGACCGGCGUGAGCCAGGUUGGUUUCUAUCUAUUAAUAUUUAUUAUACCUUAGUACGAGAGGACCGGGUAUUUGGAAUAAUUUUGUUUUAGUAUGAUU